GAUGAACGCUGGCGGCGUGCCUAAUACAUGCAAGUCGAGCGAACGGACGAGAAGCUUGCUUCUCUGAUGUUAGCGGCGGACGGGUGAGUAACACGUGGAUAACCUACCUAUAAAACUGGGAUAACUUCGGGAAACCGGAGCUAAUACCGGAUAAUAUUUUGAACCGCAUGGUUCAAAAGUGAAAGACGGUCUUGCUGUCACUUAUAGAUGGAUCCGCGCUGCAUUAGCUAGUUGGUAAGGUAACGGCUUACCAAGGCAACGAUGCAUAGCCGACCUGAGAGGGUGAUCGGCCACACUGGAACUGAGACACGGUCCAGACUCCUACGGGAGGCAGCAGUAGGGAAUCUUCCGCAAUGGGCGAAAGCCUGACGGAGCAACGCCGCGUGAGUGAUGAAGGUCUUCGGAUCGUAAAACUCUGUUAUUAGGGAAGAACAUAUGUGUAAGUAACUGUGCACAUCUUGACGGUACCUAAUCAAAAAGCCACGGCUAACUACGUG
This 497-nucleotide ribosomal RNA is filed under the name uncultured bacterium. RNAcentral's name for it is "partial 16S ribosomal RNA". It matches the Rfam family "Bacterial small subunit ribosomal RNA", at positions 28 to 507 of the family's 1533-position model. The record is from RNAcentral.